AGUGUCUAGUCUAGUGCAAACA
This 22-nucleotide microRNA is filed under the name Caenorhabditis elegans. Its description in RNAcentral is "cel-miR-239a-3p". Its record names the gene cel-miR-239a-3p. Lineage: Eukaryota; Metazoa; Nematoda; Chromadorea; Rhabditida; Rhabditidae. The record is from miRBase by way of RNAcentral.